UCACAUACGUACAUGUUCGGGUUUCUUUUAAAAGCGUUAUUGAUAUCUUUCACAACUCUCUGGACCAAGACAUCCACCUCCUCUUCCGACUCAGCCAUUUUCAGAGCUCGAGUGACGUCAACAACGCCGGUGACUCAACCUCAUCCGGGACAUUUCACUGUCAUAGGACAUUUCAGGGUCUCGUGAGAAGUUGUCACAGUAACCAUAACGCGUACGUUGUUGUAAUGUAAAAUUAGGAGAUGAUCUUGCAUUAAAAAAAAAAAAAACUAAAUUUAUCUACACGUCGCUGUGGUCUUUGUUACUCGCCAUUUGGAGGUAAAUCUUGUUUAAUCAGGGAAGUCGUGGCCUAGUGGUUAGAGAGUUUGACUCCUAACCCUGGGUCGUGGCACCGAACGCUCAACUGCUCCCUGGGUGCCGCAGCAUAAAUGGCUGCCCACUGCUUCGGGUUUGUGUGUGUUCACUGCUGUGCGUGUGCACUUUGGAUGGGUUAAAUGCAGAGCAUGAAUUCUGAGUAUUGGUCACCAUACUUGGCUGAAUGUCAUGUCACUUUCACUUUCAUCAUUGAAGCCUCUGAAUGUAGGUGCAGAGACAUUUGGAAAAAGACAGGGACGUCGCAGGUUGUCAAGGUGCCGCACUGGGCGAUGGCUUGGGGCGACGUGUGCGCAGGGGCGCUGGACUCGGGGUAAAACCAGUACUGAUUACCAGGGCCCCAAAGGAAGAGAGGGCCCUUGAAAAGUCUGGAAUAUAUAUUUUCAAAGGGGGGUUCCAUCUUGUGCAGCACCCCUGCAUGUGCGACGUGGAAUUUGUUUAAACAAGGAUUUACACAAGCUCCAGUCUGGAUCCAGAACACCUGAGAAGAGAUGAUGCUGACCCCUCAGAGGACCCCAGAUGAUGCUAACCCUGAAACAACACACAGAACUAACAAAUAUUGCUACAAGAGUGAUUGCAUCAUAUAAUAAUUGAUGUUAAUAAUGUUCAUCAUCUGGUUGACUAUGUCUUGUAUUCAUCUUUCUCAAAAAUCCUGUCAUAUGCACAUAAACUGACAGUCACCUCUUAUAAACUACUACUAAAUAUUGUAGAAACGUAAUUUUUUGUAAAGUUGCUUUGUAAUGAUAUGUACUUUAAAAAGCGCUAUACAAAUAAACU
Molecule: long non-coding RNA, 1146 nt
Organism: Carassius gibelio (silver crucian carp)
Lineage: Eukaryota; Metazoa; Chordata; Actinopteri; Cypriniformes; Cyprinidae
Exons: 3
Source: RefSeq, a predicted model, not a curated record